RNAcentral lists this ribosomal RNA (301 nucleotides) under uncultured bacterium. RNAcentral's name for it is "partial 16S ribosomal RNA". It matches the Rfam family "Bacterial small subunit ribosomal RNA", at positions 509 to 807 of the family's 1533-position model. The record is from RNAcentral.
CAGCCGCCGCGGUAAUGCGUAGGGUGCAAGCGUUAAUCGGAAUUACUGGGCGUAAAGCGUGCGCAGGCGGUUAUAUAAGUCAGAUGUGAAAUCCCCGGGCUCAACCUGGGAACUGCAUUUGAGACUGUAUGGCUAGAGUGUGUCAGAGGGGGGUAGAAUUCCACGUGUAGCAGUGAAAUGCGUAGAUAUGUGGAGGAAUACCGAUGGCGAAGGCAGCCCCCUGGGAUAACACUGACGCUCAUGCACGAAAGCGUGGGGAGCAAACAGGAUUAGAUACCCGCGUAGUCCCUGUCUCUUAUAC